Molecule: ribosomal RNA, 427 nt
Filed under: uncultured bacterium
Lineage: Bacteria
Description: partial 16S ribosomal RNA
Rfam family: Bacterial small subunit ribosomal RNA
Source: RNAcentral
UAGGGAAUCUUCGGCAAUGGACGAAAGUCUGACCGAGCAACGCCGCGUGAGUGAAGAAGGUUUUCGGAUCGUGAAACUCUGUUGGUAGAGAAGAACGUUGGUGAGAGUGGAAAGCUCAUCAAGUGACGGUAACUACCCAGAAAGGGACGGCUAACUACGUGCCAGCAGCCGCGGUAAUACGUAGGUCCCGAGCGUUGUCCGGAUUUAUUGGGCGUAAAGCGAGCGCAGGUUGUUUAUUAAGUCUGGUGUAAAAGGCAGUGGCUCAACCAUUGUAUGCAUUGGAAACUUGUAGACUUGAGUGCAGGAGAGGAGAGUGGAAUUCCAUGUGUAGCGGUGAAAUGCGUAGAUAUAUGGAGGAACACCGGUGGCGAAAGCGGCUCUCUGGCCUGUAACUGACACUGAGGCUCGAAAGCGUGGGGAGCAAACA